This is a long non-coding RNA of Equus caballus (horse), 1995 nucleotides long. The record is from Ensembl. NCBI's taxonomy places the organism in Eukaryota, Metazoa, Chordata, Mammalia, Perissodactyla, Equidae.
CGUGAAGCUCACAUCACCUCCACUCAAGGAAGGGGCCCACAUUCCGCCCCGGCUCCUUUUCUGCGCCCUCCUGGGGUGGGCUGCGUGUCUGGGGGACUCGCUUGCUCUGUGUUGAGCUGGGGUGGGGGCUCGCAAUUGACCAGGUGUCCAGCAGCCUCAUUCACCCAUUGCUGAGAACGGGGACACCCAGCUGCGGGGCGCAGGCUGCUGAGGCGCCGGGUGCCAGUGCACGCGCUUGCGGCACCGCCGAGGCGCCAGAGGCCGACCGACCUGAAGGUGGAGCGCAAGGUGCGCGAGAGGCCCCUGCAGGACAAGCGGGCCACGGGUGGGCCAUCCCCUGGGCUGGAGAAGGCGGCGUAGUACACUGUGAAGAACAGGAGGAGCUCGGGGGAGGCGCCAUCUGUCCCCUCAGUGAGGCCUGCGGCGGGCACCCGGCUUUUAUAACCUCCCUGUGCGUCACAAUGCCCUCCUCCUGAUGUCACAGCCGCACCCCUGGCCAAUCGCCACGUGGCUCUCAGCUCAGUCUUGGUAGUGUGGCUAAUCACCAGGCAAGUUGGCCAGCAAAUCUCCAGGCAGCUGUCACUGCCCUCCUGAGCCACUGGCCCGACGCCAUCCCCCAUCCCUUGGCCCUCGCGCAGCCGACUCUCUCCCCUUCAUUGCAGAGCCCUAAUUUCACAGGCAGAGCAACCGGAUAUGGGGGCGGUGACCCGCCAAUGUAGGGCACCCCAACCCGGUGCACCCAGGACCCUCGGGGAUCUGCGAGCCAGCAGGGGGCAGGCUUUUUUGUCACCUGCUUCUGCCAUCUGAGAGUCCGUUCUGAGGACGGGACCCCGGGAAAGGGAGCUCCAGCGCAGGCUGGGCGGGCUGCAUGCGGCCUGGGGCAAGGACAGAGGAGGCAGACUCAAAGAAGAGGAAGGGUCCUCACGCCAGGGGCAGAGGACAACUGAGGGAGUAGGCUGCCCAUCUGAGAAGGUGGAAGUACCUUCCUGGACGGCACCCAUCACCCCUCCUAUGCAGUUGUCUGCCCCUUCCCCAACGCUGUGGUCCUCAGCGAAGACUUUAGCCCCGCUCACUGCUGGCACCACCACACCCCUGUCGUCAUUUCGGUGACUUCUACAUCCACAAUGACAAUCCAUUAUCUACACCUGGACGUUUGGUCCUUGACCUCCUUGCUUCCUGUUGCAAACAUUUUCUGUAUUUUCCCCAGCAGUCGUUUCUUUCCUCUACACUGAAUAACAGUAAUUCUAAUAAAUAAAAUGUAACUCGUACUGGUCUCCUGAUGCCAUGGGCUCAGAGGGAGUGGCCCAUUCCCAGGGAAUGAAUCUUGACUGGAGGGAAUCAGUCACGGUCCUCCCCUUCCACUUUGCUAGGAGUGGCUGAGAGCAAAGAGGGCAUUUGACCCAGGUCUGGCCAAUAGGGCCAGAGAGGACGCCUCUGUAGGAGGCAGGUGGUGUUUGGGAAAGUUUUCUCUCUUUAACUAAAGAAAGGCAGAUGGGAGGAAUCAGUCAUCGUUCUCUGCCUUUGACCUGGUGGGGUGAGUAUGUGCUGUUAGCAGCUGUAGCAGCCACAGUGAGACCCUGAGGAAAGAGGUGGAGAGAAUCCCAGAGGAGCUGAGGUAAGACUGCCCCUGAUGCAUUCAUCAGCCCUGGGGUCUCCCGACCCUGGGCUCCUUGUUGGUGAGAUCAUAGCCACCUUCAUUGAAGCCACUUUGGGCCAGAAAUUCUGUGACAUGAAGCUGAAGGCACCCGAGCUGAUCCACCUCAUCCCCAUAGUGAUCUAAAUAUCUACAUGUUUCUUGGGCUGAUUCCACUAACUACCAAAAUGUGUGUUUCUCCUGAUGAGACAUAGACCGCUGUAGGUCAAAGUCAUGUCUCAUUCUGUUGUGUCCUCCAGGGUCCUAGCAUCUUGCUUCCCUUGGAGUCAGUGCUAAACAUGUGUAAUGAAUACAAGUGUGUAACGAAUGGUUUACAGUCGGGGCCAUCGACAGAGCACAGC